Molecule: non-coding RNA, 562 nt
Organism: Pelobates cultripes (western spadefoot toad)
Lineage: Eukaryota; Metazoa; Chordata; Amphibia; Anura; Pelobatidae
Source: the annotation of a GenBank genome assembly
CUUUCCAAUACAGCUGGUUUCUAAGCCAUUACUCUAAAGGUGACCUUUUCAUUUAGGUAGUUUCCCCACUUGACCUAAACUCAAAUGCAGUGGUUCAAUUAUUCACAUAUUAUAAGUAAAUAGGCCUAGCAUGGGGGAUAAAAUUCUACAAUCCUGGGUGUCAGACAUUUAGCACAUUUUUAAAAAAUAAAGAUAUGUUUAGGCCAACACCAUUAAAUUCUGCCUGCCAGCUCUGUAUCGAGGAAUGCUGUCCCUAAUUUGAUGGGGAUGUUCCAUAAACAUUCAAGAGCUUAUAAGAGGACCAAAUGAUAUUAAAUUAACAAUUCAAACAGAAAAAGAUUUUGGAGCAAGGUGGCAGCCUUAAUAGAACCAUUAAAGAUUUCAUCCAGGGAUCGAUAAUUCAGUUGGAGUGCAAUAGUCUUGGGACUAGCUUUAUCAUAAGCCAAAGUGUUGGCUGUAACAAUGGUAGACCACAAAAAACUUUUUCCCUGUGGAGUAGGACUUUUUUUUAGCCCAUUUAAUAUGCAGACUGGUCUAUAAGCAUUCUGUGUCUCUAUCUGCU